RNAcentral lists this ribosomal RNA (308 nucleotides) under Bacillus pumilus. RNAcentral's name for it is "bacterial SSU rRNA". It matches the Rfam family "Bacterial small subunit ribosomal RNA", at positions 12 to 310 of the family's 1533-position model. Lineage: Bacteria; Bacillati; Bacillota; Bacilli; Caryophanales; Bacillaceae. The record is from RNAcentral.
UUUGAUCCUGGCUCAGGACGAACGCUGGCGGCGUGCAUAAUACAUGCAAGUCGAGCGAACAGAAGGGAGCUUGCUCCCGGAUGUUAGCGGCGGACGGGUGAGUAACACGUGGGUAACCUGCCUGUAAGACUGGGAUAACUCCGGGAAACCGGAGCUAAUACCGGAUAGUUCCUUGAACCGCAUGGUUCAAGGAUGAAAGACGGUUUCGGCUGUCACUUACAGAUGGACCCGCGGCGCAUUAGCUAGUUGGUGGGGUAAUGGCUCACCAAGGCGACGAUGCGUACCCGACCUGAGAGGGUGAUCAGCCA